UAGGGAAUCUUCGGCAAUGGACGAAAGUCUGACCGAGCAACGCCGCGUGAGUGAAGAAGGUUUUCGGAUCGUAAAACUCUGUUGUUAGAGAAGAACAAGGACGUUAGUAACUGAACGUCCCCUGACGGUAUCUAACCAGAAAGCCACGGCUAACUACGUGCCAGCAGCCGCGGUAAUACGUAGGUGGCAAGCGUUGUCCGGAUUUAUUGGGCGUAAAGCGAGCGCAGGCGGUUUCUUAAGUCUGAUGUGAAAGCCCCCGGCUCAACCGGGGAGGGUCAUUGGAAACGGGGAGACUUGAGUACAGAAGAGGAGAGUGGAAUUCCAUGUGUAGCGGUGAAAUGCGUAGAUAUAUGGAGGAACACCAGUGGCGAAGGCGGAUCUCUGGUCUGUAACUGACGCUGAGGCUCGAAAGCGUGGGGAGCAAACAGG
This 429-nucleotide ribosomal RNA is filed under the name Gemmatimonadota bacterium. RNAcentral describes it as "Gemmatimonadetes bacterium partial 16S ribosomal RNA". It matches the Rfam family "Bacterial small subunit ribosomal RNA", at positions 355 to 776 of the family's 1533-position model. Lineage: Bacteria; Pseudomonadati; Gemmatimonadota. The record is from RNAcentral.